GAUGAACGCUGGCGGCGUGCCUAACACAUGCAAGUCGAACGAGGCCCUUUGUAUUCGUACGAAGGUGUCCAAGUGGCGAACGGGUGAGUAACACGUUGGUGACCUGCCCCGAAGAAGGGGAUAACUCCGGGAAACUGGAGCUAAUACCCUAUGUGCUCCAAGGAGUUAGAGGGCUUUGGAGUAAAGGAGCAAUCCGCUUUGGGAGGGGCCUGCGGCCCAUCAGCUAGUUGGUAGGGUAAAAGCCUACCAAGGCAAUGACGGGUAGGGGACCUGAGAGGGUGGCCCCCCACACUGGCACUGAAACACGGGCCAGACACCUACGGGUGGCAGCAGUGGGGAAUAUUGCCCAAUGGACGAAAGUCUGAGGCAGCAACGCCGCGUGCGCGAUGAAGGCCUUCGGGUUGUAAAGCGCUUUUCUGGGGGAAGA
This 427-nucleotide ribosomal RNA is filed under the name uncultured Anaerolineaceae bacterium. RNAcentral describes it as "bacterial SSU rRNA". It matches the Rfam family "Bacterial small subunit ribosomal RNA", at positions 28 to 448 of the family's 1533-position model. Lineage: Bacteria; Bacillati; Chloroflexota; Anaerolineae; Anaerolineales; Anaerolineaceae. The record is from RNAcentral.